Molecule: ribosomal RNA, 483 nt
Filed under: uncultured bacterium
Lineage: Bacteria
Description: partial 16S ribosomal RNA
Rfam family: Bacterial small subunit ribosomal RNA
Source: RNAcentral
AUUGAACGCUGGCGGCAGGCCUAACACAUGCAAGUCGAGCGGAUGAAGGGAGCUUGCUCCUGGAUUCAGCGGCGGACGGGUGAGUAAUGCCUAGGAAUCUGCCUGGUAGUGGGGGAUAACGUCCGGAAACGGGUGCUAAUACCGCAUACGUCCUGAGGGAGAAAGUGGGGGAUCUUCGGACCUCACGCUAUCAGAUGAGCCUAGGUCGGAUUAGCUAGUUGGUGGGGUAAAGGCCUACCAAGGCGACGAUCCGUAACUGGUCUGAGAGGAUGAUCAGUCACACUGGAACUGAGACACGGUCCAGACUCCUACGGGAGGCAGCAGUGGGGAAUAUUGGACAAUGGGCGAAAGCCUGAUCCAGCCAUGCCGCGUGUGUGAAGAAGGUCUUCGGAUUGUAAAGCACUUUAAGUUGGGAGGAAGGGCAGUAAGUUAAUACCUUGCUGUUUUGACGUUACCAACAGAAUAAGCACCGGCUAACUUCGU